CCUACGGGCGGCAGCAGUGAGGAAUAUUGGUCAAUGGACGCAAGUCUGAACCAGCCAUGCCGCGUGCGGGAAGACGGCUCUAUGAGUUGCAAACUGCUUUUGUACGAGGGUAAACGCAGAUACGCGUAUCUGUCUGAAAGUAUCGGACGAAUAAGGAUCGGCUAACUCCGUGCCAGCAGCCGCGGUAAUACGGAGGAUUCAAGCGUUAUCCGGAUUUAUUGGGUUUAAAGGGUGCGUAGGCGGUCGGAUAAGUUAGAGGUGAAAUCCCGAGGCUCAACUUCGGACUUGCCUUUGAUACUGUUCGUCUAGAGAGUAGUUGCGGUAGGCGGAAUGUAUGGUGUAGCGGUGAAAUGCUUAGAGAUCAUACAGAACACCGAUUGCGAAGGCAGCUUACCAAGCUACUUCUGACGUUGAGGCACGAAAGCGUGGGGAGCAAACAGGAUUAGAUACCCGAGUAGUC
This 460-nucleotide ribosomal RNA is filed under the name uncultured bacterium. RNAcentral describes it as "partial 16S ribosomal RNA". It matches the Rfam family "Bacterial small subunit ribosomal RNA", at positions 338 to 795 of the family's 1533-position model. The record is from RNAcentral.